RNAcentral lists this ribosomal RNA (429 nucleotides) under Chloroflexota bacterium. RNAcentral's name for it is "Chloroflexi bacterium partial 16S ribosomal RNA". It matches the Rfam family "Bacterial small subunit ribosomal RNA", at positions 355 to 776 of the family's 1533-position model. The record is from RNAcentral. Lineage: Bacteria; Bacillati; Chloroflexota.
UGGGGAAUAUUGCACAAUGGGCGCAAGCCUGAUGCAGCCAUGCCGCGUGUAUGAAGAAGGCCUUCGGGUUGUAAAGUACUUUCAGCGGGGAGGAAGGGAGUAAAGUUAAUACCUUUGCUCAUUGACGUUACCCGCAGAAGAAGCACCGGCUAACUCCGUGCCAGCAGCCGCGAUAAUACGGAGGGUGCAAGCGUUAAUCGGAAUUACUGGGCGUAAAGCGCACGCAGGCGGUUUGUUAAGUCAGAUGUGAAAUCCCCGGGCUUAACCCGGGAAUUGCAUCUGAUACUGGUCAGCUAGAGUCUUGUAGAGGGGGGUAGAAUUCCAUGUGUAGCGGUGAAAUGCGUAGAGAUGUGGAGGAAUACCGGUGGCGAAGGCGGCCCCCUGGACAAAGACUGACGCUCAGGUGCGAAAGCGUGGGGAGCAAACAGG